GUUGUGUUUCUGUGUGAUGAUGAUGAUAAAGUUGUGUUUCUGUGUGAUGAUGAUGAUAAAGUUGUGUUUCUGUGUGAUGAUAAUAAUAAAGUUGUGUUUCUGUGUGAUGAUGAUAAUAAAGUUGUGUUUCUGUGUGAUGAUGAUAAAAUUGUGUUUCUGUGUGAUGAUGAUAAUAAAGUUGUGUUUCUGUGUGAUGAUGAUGAUAAAGUUGUAAUAAAGUGAU
Molecule: long non-coding RNA, 223 nt
Organism: Dicentrarchus labrax (European seabass)
Lineage: Eukaryota; Metazoa; Chordata; Actinopteri; Moronidae
Exons: 3
Source: RefSeq, a predicted model, not a curated record